GUUAUGUAGCCUAAGAUAAAAAUAGUAAUAUCAGUUUUUCCCCUUUUUAGGUGGCAGGAGUAAAAAAAUUAGUCCUCAACAUUUCUUGUGUUCUGGUUUCAAAAUGAUGAAGACAGGAGAACAGUCAGA
Long non-coding RNA from Etheostoma spectabile (orangethroat darter), 129 nucleotides. RefSeq lists it as uncharacterized. The record is from RefSeq and is a predicted model, not a curated record. Lineage: Eukaryota; Metazoa; Chordata; Actinopteri; Perciformes; Percidae. The transcript has 3 exons.